GAUAAACGCUGACAGAAUGCUUAACACAUGCAAGUCUACUUGAAUUUGGGUUUUUAACUUAGAUUUGGGUGGCGGACGGGUGAGUAACGCGUAAAGAACUUGCCUCACAGCUAGGGACAACAUUUAGAAAUGAAUGCUAAUACCUAAUAUUAUGAUAAUAGGGCAUCCUAUAAUUAUGAAAGCUAUAAGCGCUGUGAGAGAGCUUUGCGUCCCAUUAGCUAGUUGGAGAGGUAACGGCUCACCAAGGCGAUGAUGGGUAGCCGGCCUGAGAGGGUGAUCGGCCACAAGGGGACUGAGACACGGCCCUUACUCCUACGGGAGGCAGCAGUGGGGAAUAUUGGACAAUGGACCGAGAGUCUGAUCCAGCAAUUCUGUGUGCACGAUGAAGUUUUUCGGAAUGUAAAGUGCUUUCAGUUGGGAAGAAAGAAAUGACGGUACCAACAGAAGAAGUGACGGCUAAAUACGUGCCAGCAGCCGCGGUAAUACGUAUGUCACGAGCGUUAUCCGGAUUUAAUGGGCGUAAAGCGCGCCUAGGUGCCUAUAUAAGUCUGAUGUUAAAAUGAAGGGCACAAUUCUGUAUUGCGUCGGAAACUGUAUAACUAGAGUCUGGAGAGGUAAGCGCACAUACCGGUGGGGAGGUGAUAUUCGUAGAAAUCUGUCCGAAUGCCGACGGUGAAUCCACCUUACUGAACUACCCUGACGCUGUAUUGUGAUACAUGGCUCGCGAUUUUCUCAGAUCACGCCUCGAUUCUCCCGGGGCAGUCCACAUUGAAGGGAGGCCGGCGUAUUCUGAUCUUCGAGGGGGGGGCUAGCGCGGGGGUCUAUCUCUUCCUCCCGUGGUUGCUUAAAAAACAAGCGUCCCCCCCGCGC
RNAcentral lists this ribosomal RNA (870 nucleotides) under uncultured Catonella sp. RNAcentral's name for it is "bacterial SSU rRNA". The stretch from base 1 to 744 matches the Rfam family "Bacterial small subunit ribosomal RNA", at positions 28 to 873 of the family's 1533-position model. The record is from RNAcentral. Lineage: Bacteria; Bacillati; Bacillota; Clostridia; Lachnospirales; Lachnospiraceae.